GGCUCGGUAGCUCAGCGGUAGAGCGGGGGACUCAUAAGCCCUAGGUCGCAGGUUCGAAUCCUGCCCGAGUCA
Molecule: transfer RNA, 72 nt
Filed under: Vulcanimicrobiaceae bacterium
Lineage: Bacteria; Bacillati; Vulcanimicrobiota; Vulcanimicrobiia; Vulcanimicrobiales; Vulcanimicrobiaceae
Description: tRNA-Met
Rfam family: tRNA
About the family: Transfer RNA (tRNA) molecules are approximately 80 nucleotides in length. Their secondary structure includes four short double-helical elements and three loops (D, anti-codon, and T loops).
Source: RNAcentral